UACGGAGGUUGCAAGCGUUGUUCGGAAUAACUGGGCGUAAAGGGAGCGCAGGCGGCUUGAUAAGUCUAAAGUGAAAACCCAGGGCUCAACUCUGGACCUGCUUUGGAUACUGUCAGGCUUGAGUACGUGAGAGGAGAUUGGAAUUCCAGGUGUAGCGGUGAAAUGCGUAGAUAUCUGGAGGAACACCGGUGGCGAAAGCGGAUCUCUGGCACGUUACUGACGCUGAGGCUCGAAAGCGUGGGGAGCAAACGGG
Molecule: ribosomal RNA, 253 nt
Filed under: uncultured bacterium
Lineage: Bacteria
Description: partial 16S ribosomal RNA
Rfam family: Bacterial small subunit ribosomal RNA
Source: RNAcentral